GUGGGGAAUCUUCCGCAAUGGACGAAAGUCUGACGGAGCAACGCCGCGUGAGUGAAGAAGGUUUUCGGAUCGUAAAGCUCUUUCGUUAGGGACGAACGUGCUCUUUGUGAAUAAUGAGGAGUAAUGACGGUACCUAAAUAAGAAGCCACGGCUAACUACGUGCCAGCAGCCGCGGUAAUACGUAGGUGGCAAGCGUUGUCCGGAAUUAUUGGGCGUAAAGCGCGCGCAGGCGGGAUAUCAAGUCUGUCUUAAAAGUGCGAGGCUCAACCUCGUGAGGGGACAGAAACUGGUAUUCUUGAGUGUCGGAGAGGAAAGUGGAAUUCCAAGUGUAGCGGUGAAAUGCGUAGAUAUGGGGAGGAACACCAGUGGCGAAGGCGGCUUUCUGGACGGUGUCUGACACUGAGGCGCGAAAGCUAGGGGAGCGAACGGGAUUAGAAACCCUGGUAGUCC
This 450-nucleotide ribosomal RNA is filed under the name uncultured bacterium. RNAcentral describes it as "partial 16S ribosomal RNA". It matches the Rfam family "Bacterial small subunit ribosomal RNA", at positions 354 to 796 of the family's 1533-position model. The record is from RNAcentral.